RNAcentral lists this long non-coding RNA (2441 nucleotides) under Anolis carolinensis (green anole). Its description in RNAcentral is "lncRNA (ENSACAG00000043073.1)". Lineage: Eukaryota; Metazoa; Chordata; Lepidosauria; Squamata; Anolidae. The record is from RNAcentral.
AUGGGCUGGUCAUCCAUAUCAUGUCAAUUCUUGACCAGCCCUGGUGCCUGUGGGAGUAAAAAGUAUAAUCCUUUUUCUGACAAAGUGCACAAUUGUAUCCCUUGCCACUUUAUUUUUCUUAGCAAAUGUUGUAGUUAUUCUGUAGGCUCGGUCCACUUCUUUAUCCAUCUCUUGCUCUGUAAGUUGUAAAAUUUUUGCCGUUAUCUGUAAAAUUAUUUUUCUUAUCUGUUCGUUGGGAUCUUCUGGAAUAUUUCUAAAUCUUAAUUGGAAUUCCCUCCCAUCCUGUUCCAGUUUUUCUUACUUCUGUUCCAAUUUCUCACUUCUAUUUUGUAAACUUGACAUCUUCUUCUGUAUUUUCUCUUGGGCCAUUUCCAUUUUUUGUUUGUCGCUUUUAAUUUCUUUAAUCUCUGCAUAUACUGUCUCUAGUUCCUUUUUGACUUUUCCAAUUUCCUCUUUCAUUUCUUUUUUCAUCUCUAACAUUUGAUCUUGAAAUUUUCGAAAAUCUUUUUGUUGUGUUAAUUGUCUUUCUGCUACUAAUUGAAGUUCUUUAUUUUGUAUAUCUUGCUUCUCGGAAAGUUUCUGUAGUUCUUUCAUCAAUUCUGUAAACCCAAUCUCUCCUGCAUUUGAUUGUCUUCUGGGUGUGCCUUUAAUGUCUUUGGUGUCUUUUUCCAUUUUGCUUUUUGGUGUAAACAUGCUGGUGUGCCCCUUUUUAAACAGAGAACAAAACAACAACAACUGUUUGACACUUCUUAUUCAAUUUGGAGAAUUAUUUAUGAAUUAAUAUAAUUAGUAAUUUUUUCAAUUCAUGCGGUUCCUAUCUUCUGAAAAUCUGAAUUCUUAUGGUAUGUUUGUAAGUUCAGUAGAGGAGGUACUUAGGGAAUUAAAAAUUAAUUGAUAAGGCUCUUCCAAUUCUCAACAAACUUCCAGUUGAGUCAAAACUUCUAAACAAUUAAUCCUUUUGUUCUCUUCGGUCUAUUUGUGACUUCGAAUAUCUUAAUUAACUUCCACAAAUCAAAUUAAUAUUGUCCCGUCGUUUAUUAAAUUUUUAUCCUCUCAAAUUCAUUUAUGUCUUUAUGAUUUAAACCCCUCCCGUUCAUUUGUGUCUUUAAUAGCUUAAACGACCCAGUUAAACUGUUUCGGUCAAUUGAUUUAUUUUAUUUUAUUUUAUUUAUGUAUUUUAAUUCCUUCAAUCAAUUUUUAUCUUUAAUUUCAUUGAUAUAUUAGUCAACUUGAAUUAGCCUGAUUUGAGAUUUCAUAGAACUCAUUCCGUUCCGUCUCAUCCACUCUUCCUUCCGUCGUUCCCUGUGUGUCCCUUUAGAGGUCUCCCGUCUUCGCUCUUCCUGUUGAAGCCGUUGGGCGGUUCAUCCGCCCUUAGCCCUUAGCGCUAUCCAAUCCCAGUUGACCUCUUCCGUGAUCCUUUACUCUGCUUCCUUCUUUUUUUGUUUGUUUGUGGAGGUGGCUUCGUAAACUAACCAAUAUGUCUUCAAAGUCAGCUUCUUAUAACAUUACAUUUCUUCCUUGGGGGAAUCUUCCCACCCCCUGGCCUGUUUUGAUCUCCCUCCCCGCUCUACCGAAGCCGGGAGCCGGGGUUUUCUGAGGCUCUCAAAGGCGAAAGAUAAGUGCUUUAGCUUUUAUUGUCUCCGAAAGCCCCUUUCUCCCUUGCUGUUUAAUUAGGGGGGAACGGGUUCUUAUGCAAAGCUUCAGAUUUUUUUCUUUGAAACUCACGGUUUCUUGCGCUGGUCCCCCAGCCUUCUUGUAAUGUUUUCUUCAGUUUUAAAAUGUGCGGAGGUCGGCAGUUAAUGCGGGUCUUUCCCCGCUUCCCUCUUGGCGACACAACAUAACUUGUAGGUGAAAUAUUUUGUUUUAGACUGCAAGUUUACAGCUAUGUACAUAAUUCCAUUCCUUGUUCAGAGCAUUAAAUUCCAGGCUUGAAAGAGCAUGGCCUGCUAUGGGAAAAUCUCAUUUUACUCAAAAUUAUAAAUCCUCCUUUAGCUAUUCUAUUAUUAUUUCUGAAGAGGGCUGAUCUCUGGGUCAUUGAAGAUCUGCAGCUAGACAAUUGUUUUUGUCCUUGCUUUCCCUCACAAUGCAUUAUAAAGCCCAGGGAAAAUUUACCAGUAUUUACUGCAUAGUUGGCUUUAGUUGACAAGAGGAAAAAGAACUAGAUAUCACAAGUAUCUAGUGACAGUUCAAUCCAAAGUUUAAAAUGACAUCUUCCUAUGAUUUUCUAUAAAUACUAAAUUAUGUGAUUAAUAGAAGAGAUCCCCUAGAAUGCAAUACACCGAGAUCCUUGGUCCUGAACAUGGCAAAGUCUUUCCAGGAGCCAACUGGAAAGGUGGCAAGUAAUAGAAUAUGGUGCCCCCAGAACCCAAUCCAGCAAAGAAUCCAAAUGAAAGCCAUGAUGGAUGGUACUAAAACAUUGAUCCUAAAAUACUUCCAGGGCU